RNAcentral lists this ribosomal RNA (254 nucleotides) under uncultured bacterium. RNAcentral describes it as "partial 16S ribosomal RNA". It matches the Rfam family "Bacterial small subunit ribosomal RNA", at positions 524 to 776 of the family's 1533-position model. The record is from RNAcentral.
UACGGGGGGGGGCAAGCGUUGUUCGGAAUUACUGGGCGUAAAGGGCUCGUAGGCGGCCAACUAAGUCAUACGUGAAAUCCCUCGGCUUAACCGGGGAACUGCGUCUGAUACUGGAUGGCUUGAGUUCGGGAGAGGGAUGCGGAAUUCCAGGUGUAGCGGUGAAAUGCGUAGAUAUCUGGAGGAACACCGGUGGCGAAGGCGGCAUCCUGGACCGAUACUGACGCUGAGGAGCGAAAGCGUGGGGAGCAAACAGG